This is a long non-coding RNA of Acinonyx jubatus (cheetah), 9050 nucleotides long. RefSeq lists it as uncharacterized. The record is from RefSeq and is a predicted model, not a curated record. The transcript is spliced from 3 exons. Lineage: Eukaryota; Metazoa; Chordata; Mammalia; Carnivora; Felidae.
UUUAUUUUAAAUGACUUUAAUUUCAUUUUUAAUAUAUAGUGAGAACACACUGUAAUAAGUUCAUUUCACUACUUUUCAGUUUCAAAAUAACUUUGUCUUUUGAAAUUUCUGCCUCCUAAAUUAAGUCAAGCAUUUCAGAGACUUCAUAGAAAGAAACAUUCUCUUUUCUCUUUAAAAGAAUUCCAUGUGUCUAAGCACUUUUAUAAAGUAGAGGUGUUUAGUAACAUAGAAUCUCCAGUGUAAUAAAUAUUUCUCCAUUGGGAUAUUUCUAUUGGCAAAAUUAUGUAAAGCAAUUUAUAGCUUCAUGCUCUUAUAAGAAAGAUUGUUUUCUUUCUCUUCUUUCUUAACAAUAAAAAGAGCUUUAUUAGAUUUUUUCUGAUUAUGAAAGCACAUGCUUAUUUACAAUAACUAUACUAUAAAAAUAAUUCAGCAGUUACAUGCAGUAGACUUGUACACAUAGCAACAUAGAUCUGAAACACAUAGUACUAGGUGGAAAAUGUAAGAAAUGGAUGAGAAACCAUUUAAGUAAAUUUAAAAUAUCUGUACAAAAAAAAAUUUUUAGGACUAUACAAACAAAAUAAAAGAUUUAUAUUAAAUGUAUUAGGAUAGUUGUUAGUGGGGGUGGUUUGGGUGAUCUAAGUAGGAAAUGGGGUUCAAAGAUAGUAAAAGAAGAAAUUUCAGGUAAUUUAAAAGUGUGAGGAAUUUAAAAUCACCUUCAAUUCCACUCCUUGAUAAUAUCACAGCGCAUAGUUUGGAAUAUAGACAUCCAGAUAACACACACAUACACAUGCAUACACAUACACAUGCAUGCACACACACAUUUUAAAGUGGGAUUAUAAUCUGUUUUUAAUCUUAUUUUCAUUAAACAGUAUAAUAUAAAUCUGUUGAUAUAAAUCAUUUUUAAUGUAGUACGUGCAUGGAUCUUCAUAACCUAUUCAAUGACUACCCCAUGGAUGUAUAUUUAGGUUUUUUCCAGUUCUUUUUAAUGACUAAUGUUACAAUUAACAUUCUUAUACAUAUAUCUUUAUCUACUUGCCUUUCACUAGAAAUGCCCAUUUAAAUUAUUGAAACAGGGGCACCUGAGUGGCUCAGUCGGCUAGUCGUCCGACUUAGCUCAGGUCAUGAUCUUGCAGUUCAUGAGUUCAAGCCCCACACCGGGCUCUGUGCUGACGGCUCAAAACCUGGAACCUGCUUCAGAUUCUGUGUCUCCCUCUCUCUCUGCUCCUCUCCCUCUCGUGCUCUGUCUCUCUUUCAAAAAUAAACAUUAAGAAAAAUUUUAAUUAUUGAAACAAGUUGUCAAACUGCCUUCCAGAAAUACCAUUUUCACAUUCAUAAUAUGAAACUUUCUGAUUCUCACAAGGUGUUAAAGCUUAAAACACUUGUAAAAUAAACAGCAACAAAAUUAUCUCCAUAUUCCAGGCCAUCCAAAUGUCCAGAUCGCCUCAAUAGAAUUAAUUUACUCACUUAGUACCUUCUGUUCAGUGGGAGGUCAAAGACUACAAACCAUGUUAAUGUCAUUACACAGCUGACUAUUUAGCACUGCCUUGGUCUGACCUAUACAUCAGGGACUGAGUGAACUACCAGAGAAAAGCAGAAAGGAUGCAGAUUCACUUAAGUAGCACAUCAACUUUUUUGCACUUGUACAUGCAUCGUAAUCUUGAAUGUCAAAAAAAUUAAAGUCUUUAAUUACUAAUAGUGGGAUCUAUAUUCUAAGUAGUUGUGAGUUGUCUGUUUUUCAACUUCAUUCCUAAAGUGGCUUUUAUUGUGUUUUGAAGGUUUUGACCUCAUUGGCAACAGUCAAAUUCAUUUUUAAACAUAGCCUCCCAAUCAGACAACAAUUCCAGCCUGGUGGGGUGGACAGAGCUGGGCUGUAGAGCCAGGCUGACCCUGGGCUGUGUGCAAAGUCAUGUGGCCACAGGACCUUAGGCUAGUUACUAAACUUGUCUAUUUCCUCAUGGUAUUACACAGAGGUAAGAACCUCCAUUGGGUUGUAUCUCCAGUAUCUAGAACAAAUAUAUCAACAAAUAUUUGUUCGUUCAUUCAAGGUAACAAUUAGCAAUAAUGAAUGUGAAACGUCUGGAAUCUAGAAAAUACUAAGUGGUAGCUAUUGUCAUAUUAAGAUAAAGUAAAGGGAUGUUGUUGAAGGAGAGAAGCUGAAAGCAAAGAAUUUCAGAUAGUCUGGAUUGCUGGUGAGAGCCCGAGAUCAGGUUCUAGGGCCACUGUGAGUUUGGAAAUGUGGAAAUUAAUAUUGACAGCUUGGAAGAAGAAAAGGAGUUGCUCUGAAUUAGGCUUAGUAUUCAGGGUUACCAACAGCCCGUCAAAAUGGAAAAUACCUACGUGGCUUUUAACCAGGUGUGAAUGUGAAUAAUCAACUCAUCAAGGUAAAGUCUUUAAGCUUUUUCUACCCGGUAUCAUUGCUAUACCUAAAGCCAUAUUGCAGGAAGGACUGCUAAAUGCAUGUUUUCUUAAUGCCGCUAUGUGGCAGGAAUUUAAAGUUAUAAUCUCUUUUCAAGGCACAUCUUUAUUAAAGGGGAAUCAUUCAAAGCCAUCUGAGUGCAAUUACUAUAUAAAGGCUAAUUGACCUAAUUAAUCUAAUGUGGGUCAAUGUCUCUAUCCUACCCAAAGAACAUUUUCAAAUGAAAAGGGGGAAAAAAGCAACUCCAAAAGGGAUUUCUUUAAGUGAACAUCCUUAAAUUUAGUGAGCCUGAUUUAUUCCUUGCACACAGAUAUUAUAUUGCUACAUAUUAUAUUGCUGGAGUGGCUGAGCUGGGAUAAAAAGAGAUAGACUAAUUCUCUGAGGAUCCUGAGGAAUAUUCUGUUUGUCACUCAGGGGAAGGCACUAUAUAAAUUACAUUAUACCAAUACUGCCUCUUUCUGAUAAGGUAGCACUGAAAGAAGAAUUCAACAUGACAAGAAGUCAAAUUUACUAUCAUACUGUUUUGAUUCUCUUGGUGAUGUGAUAAAGUGCAUGCUGAUACCUGCUUUUUAUUUGAUUAACUUACAGCUCCUUUGAAUGUCAGCUUGUUCCAUUUGAAGUACUGGCUGCCAAAUAUAAACUGGGACUGAUAAUAUCUGAGCCCUAUGAUUGAGGAAAGAAUGUGUAACACAUGCCUGUGGUAGGCAAAAUAAAGCCUCCCAACAUGUUCACGUUUUAAUCCCCCAAAUUUGUAACUAUGUCACAUUACAUGGCAAAAGGGACUUUGCACAUGUGAAGUUAGGGAUCUUGAGAUGGAGAGAAUAUCCUGGAUCAUCCAGGUGGGUCCAAUGUACUCACAAGAGUUCCUAUAAUGGAAAGAAGGAAGCUGGAGAGUCAGAGAAAGAGAUAUAAGGAUGGAAGCAAAGGCCAGAGAGACAGAGAGAAGGAGAAAGGGAGAUAGGUUUGAAGAUGCUCUGCCUCUAGCUUCGGUGAUGGAGAAAAAGGCUGUAAGUCAGGGAAGGUAGGCAGCUUCUGGAAAAGUCAAGGGAAUGGAUUCUCCCCUAGAGCCUCCAGAAGAAAUGUAGCCCUGGAUUUUAAAAUCAAGCAACCUUGAUUUUAGCCCAGUGACAUUAAUUUUUGGACUUCUGACCUCUAGAAUUGUGAGUAAUAAAUUUGUAUUGUUUUAAGCCACAGAGUUGGUGGUAAUUUGUUAUAGCAGCAAGAGAAACUACGUGCCACUUUUGGGGCUCAUGGCAUAGAGCUACACUAGUGUCAUUUUAGUUGGAUUGAGAUGACUUUCCCAAACUGGACCUAUAAUCCAAGACAAAGCUAGGGCAAACCAGGGAAGCACACAGCAGAAGCUCUUGCUUGGCCUUUUAUUCAUCACAAGCUCACUUUGUUCCCAUUUAUUCUGAGGCCUUUUAGAGAAAUGGAGUAUUAGCGAAGGUUCCUAAGUGUGGGAAGAAAUCAGUCCUCUUAUGAGUUAAUUCCCCUUUCCUCAGGUUUUAAACUCCAAAGACAUUUUCUAAAAUGAUUUUCAACUAUAAACAAUGUCUUGUAAUCAACUUGGCCUUUGUUCUGGCCAAAAACUUUAGAAAGUGGUUAAGUAUCUUCACUGGGAGUCACUGGCCCUGGACAUGGCCUUGAGCUAAUAGGGUAGAAAAGGUAGGAGUUUUGGGCAGCUGAUCAAAAUCUUACAUGGGGUCAAGGAGUUUUAAAAGAUAAAUGGGGCACAUGGGUGGCUCAGUCAGUUAAAUGUCCAACUCGAAUUAGCUCAGGUCUUGAUCUCAGGGUUGUGAGGUUCAAGCCCCAUGUUGGGCUCCACUCUGUGUGUGGAGCCUACUUUUAAAAAAUGGUAAUAUAUACAGCCACUGUGCUAAGGAGCACUUACAUCCAUUAAGUAACAUGUGCAUUAUCCUAUUAUCCCAUGCUUAUUAUCCCGACUUUCAACUGAGGAAAGUAAAGCUGAAGAAAUGGCACCGUGCCCACUGUCACCUAUAGCAGGCUUACUCAAGGGCUGGGCUGUUAACCACUACUCCAUGUCCCCUCUCCACAUCAGAACUUCCCUGGAAAAUUCUUGGAACUCUUGGAAAGUGUUCUAUAGACAGAAUUAUGGCAGAUUUGUUGUUUUCUUGAUGUUCUGAGUGUGCCACCCCAGCAAAUUCUUGAGAAUGCAGGCAGAGUUUGCAAGAGGAAAUGUAUAUAUCACUACAACACGAAGCAAAGUCCUCUUGUCAAAUGCAGUCAAAGAACGGGUAGGUUGUGCAGUGCAAGCUUGGCUUUCUCUGAGGCACACUAGUUCUUAUGGGCCUGAUGGAAAGGCCUGUUAACUGAUGGCAUGAUCAUGACUCCAUUAGAAGAAAGACAAACAAUGAAAAGGAAUAAGUGCACAGUUUGAUUCUGGCCAUUGCAGUGGACCCAAUGAGGAAGAAAAGCUGGAGGAAUCUAGUGAGACCGUUUAGGUUGGAUAGCAAGCUUUCUGAUGAACAUGGGUGAACAGUGAACAGGAUGACACAUACCCAAGGUCCUGGAAUAACUCAAGUCUUAGAAGAAGAUUAAUGGUCAGAAACAGGUAAAAAUGCUAAAGAAAAUAAAAAAUUUAGAGCAGGAGGAAUUCUGGGAAGGAAAAAGCCCAAGCUUGAAAAUAAUGAUGCUAAGUUAGUAUACAAUAACAGUGAGGAAAAGAACUUCUCCACUCCUAUUUUACCAUCUUUUUUUUUUCUUGGUAAGAAGAUUGGAAGAUUGACUGGAAAGUGUGGACAAGUGUUAGCAAAAGGAAGUGGCACCCCAACUUGUCCAAGAAUCCACAUCUGAACCAUUGCAUCCCAAGGGAAGGGAUAUAUACUGGAAACCAGAGGAAUUUUUAUAGACCAAGAUUAUUGGUAUUACAGCCUGACCAAGAAUCUUGUGAUACCCUUAUGAAAGAACUGCACUGGUUGCUACAGCAGUUCCUGAUGGAAGAGACACAAAAGACUAGAGCCUUAAGUACAGAGUAGCGUGUUUGCAUCCUGACACCAGAAAGGAUCUGAUCAUCUGAGAGCUUCCAGUCUAGGUCUUAACAGCUUUCAAAAAUCAAACACGUUCAAACAAAACAAUACAAAACAAAAGCCCUGAGAGGCAGUUGCACAUUUUGCAAUCACUUGUGUAAAGAGAUAGCAUGUCUGUGGUACAAGAACUACCUACAAUAAGGGAUAUGUGGUUUGGCUCUUCUAGAGGAAAACAAGCCUUCCAGAAAUUGGCGACCGGUUUUGCAGAAAACAUGAAGUCAUUUCACAACAUGUCAUGGUAACGAAGAACCAGAAACUUCUGUGAGACUCAUUUUAGCCGGGAGCGGCAGCCUUCUCCGCACCAGGGCUCUCGGCCGCAUCCUGUCCUGGCCUUUGCUGCACCUCCCUUCCCGCCUCCUCUCCAUGGCACAGUUUUUGGAUGAGCGAAUGUAAGUAAGUGCUCAGGCUCUUUGGCAAGUCAAACCAACCGACUACCACCCGGUUUAAGUGAAACGUCACAGCCUUCAGAACCUCAGCAACACUAAUCCACGGACCUUCCCUCCAGACCCCUGCCAUCAACAGGAAUCAGCUCCCGACUCCUGGCCUUGGGGACUCCUAGCUCAAAAUCUAGACAGAGACGGUUCCCGCUUGGCUCACAUGCCCGCACGCUCCAGGCAGCUCCGUCCAGGUAGGAGGGUCUCAUGUGAGUGUUCAGAGGCUGGGGAAUGUGCAGUGGGAGUGGGUCAUGAGCUGGCCUGAUACUCAGGGAGGAAUCCCUCACUUUACAAGACUUGGCUUUUUUUUUUUUUAAGUUUAGUUUGGAGUGAGUGAGAGAGAGAGACAGCUCCCAUGUGCAUGUGGGGGGAAGGGGCAGAGAGACAGAGGAGAGAGAGAAUCCCAAGCAGGCUCCAUGCUGUCAGUGCAGAGCCCGAGAACCAUGAGAUCAUGACGUAAGCUGAAAUGAAAAGUUGGAUUCCUAACCGACUGAGCCACCCAGGUGCCCCUACAUGACUUGACUUUUAUGAGUGGCUGUGGUAGGGGUGGGGGGAGUUCUGUGGACUGAGUCCCAGGGAGAGUCAUUAGAUAAGGGGGAUGGGAGAUGGUAUGGUGAAUGGAGGGGCUGUGGUUGGGAGGAAAUUGUUUUGGUUUUCUGUUGCUGCCAUAACAAAUCACAACAAUGGUUUAGAACAACACAAAUGUGCUGUCGUACGGUUCUGGAGGUAAGAAUUCUAACAACUGGUCUCACUGCACUGAGAUCAAGGUAUUGGCAGGGCCAAAUUCCUUUCUGGAGCCUCUAGAGGAGACUACUUCUUUGCCUUUUCUGGAUUUUUUUUUAAUAUGAAAUUUAUUGUUAAAUUAGUUUCCAUACAACACCCAGUGCUCAUCCCAACAGGUGCCCUCCUCAAUGCCCAUCACCCUGCCUUUUCUGGCUUCUGAGGCCACAAGCAUUUCUUCCCUUGUAGCAUCUUCCACCAUCCUUAAAAGCCAGCAAUGCUGCCUCUCUCUGACCUCUUUUCUGUUACCACAACUCUUUCUCACUGAGGACAGAAGGGAAAGUGUCUUCAUGUUUAAGGACUAUGUGAUUAGAUUGAAUCCACCUGGAUGAUUCAGGAUGCCCUCCCUCUUCUCAAAGUCCUUAACUUUAAUCAUAUUCGCAAAGUCUCUUGUUAUGGGUUGAAUUGUGUCCAAAUUCGUAUUUUGAAGUUGUAAACCCAAGAAUGUGAACUUACUUGAAGACAGGGUCACAGCAAAUGUAAUCAGCUAAUAUUAGAUCAUUCGGGUGGGCCUUAAUUCAACAGGACGGGUGUGUGUAUCAGAAGGGGGUGGGGGCACCUGGGUCGCUCAGUCGGUUGAGCCUCUGACUUCAGUUUAGGUCGUGAUCUCGAAGUUCAUGAGUUCAAGCCCUGCAUCGGGCUCUCUGCUAUCAGCACAGAGCCCACUUCAGAUCCUCUGUUUUCCUCUCUCUCUAAACAAACAAACGUUUAGAAACCAGUGGGGGUGGAAUUUGGACACAGACACCCACAGAAGGAGAAACACGGGGAGGAGACAGCCACCUAUACAAGCCAAGGAGAAAGGCCUGGAAUAGAUCUCUCCCUCACAGCUUUUAAAAGAAACCAACCUGCUGAUGUCUUGAUUUUGAUCUUCUAGCCUUCAGAACUGCGAAAGAAUACAUUUCUGUUCAAGCCACCCAGUUCCUAGUACUUGGUUAUGGUGACCUUACCAAACAAACGUAUCUCUUUUGCCAUGUAAGGUAUCAUAUUCACUGGUUCUGGGGAUUAGGACAUGGACAUCUUCCGGAGGGCCAUUAUUCCACUUACCACACGUUUGAACAGUGGAUCGUAGCCAAAUGGUAUUAACUUCACUUUGUCUUGGGACUAAGCUCAGUAGUUCCUGUACCAUGAAUGAAAUAAUGGAUUAGACCACAGGCUUGUUGCUCACAAACGCUCUGCACGCAUGAGAGCAGACUCAAAACAAUAGGUCUUUGCAUGGGAACAUUGUCCAACUUCAGGCACUCUGGUUUUUGUAAACCACAAUGCAAGGUGCUGGCAUUUACUGCCACUUUUGAAGGGCAGACAUUGUGUUAGCAGAAUCCAGUGAACUGGACAUUGGUACCUUUUUUUCUUAGAACAAAUAAAAACAUGUGGGAAUGACAUCAGCAAAAUGGUGGAAUAAGAGUCUUCUUCUGUGUUCUCCCCGCAAAACAGCAAGUUUGACAAUCACCCACAGAGGGGAAUGCAUUUGAGGCAGUCCAGGAGUCCAGCAGAGAAGUUCCAGCAAACCACUGGAGCAAAAAACAACCAGAUUGGAUGCAGUGAAGAGGGUGACAGAAACAGUUUUUUUUUUACCUAUGUCACCCCUCCCCCAAGGCACAGAUAUAGAUCAAUGCCAAGGUAGACCUUCUAGAUGUGUGGCUUCUUUCAAGGGCGAAACUGAGAGUGUGUGAAUGAGUACCUGGCUUCCCAGCCAUGUGUAAUGCUACCAAAAAGGCCCACUUCUCUCUCACCCCAUCCAGAGUACAGAGGCAUGCUGCACAAAUCAGGGGCAGAGAGUGGCUGGGAGAACAGACAGGGCUCUCAGAGGGCAUCAGAAAGACACGGAUCUUACCAACCACUUUGUGGAAUUCAUCAGGAAGCAGGCCCACAAGCUGCGGGGGAUGUUUCAUUUGAGGAUUCCCCCCAGAUGGCCCCGGGGGUUCCUGAACACUCCGUUUACCUCCCUCACACACACCACACCCUGUGGCUGGCUGGUUGUGUGUGUUCCAUGAGGGGGGAGUAUGAGCCUUUGUAGACAGCUGGUGAGCGCGGGCAGAAAGCUGGCCCUGACUCUGCAAGCCUGGGAGAACAGAGGGGCGCCUGCAGGGCUCAGGCAGUUAAGACUCUAGAUUUCAGCUCAGGUCAUGAUCUCACGGUUUGUGAGUUUGUGCCACGCGUCAGGCUGAGCUGACAGUGCAGCGCCUGCUUUGGAUUCUCUCUCUCUCUCUCUCUGCCCCUUCCCCCACUCAAAAAAAAAAAAGAAAGAAAGAAACUUAAAAAAAAAAAAACAGAUUGGGAGAAAACACACUAACGAGCAUUUAGCACCAUUCUAGGGAAAGCAAGAGAAGCAUACACACGAUCUUAAGAAAUCCCCCUAAGAGGGAACAAGAAAUG